GACGAACGCUGGCGGCGUGCUUAACACAUGCAAGUCGAACGGAAAGGCCCUGCUUUUGUGGGGUGCUCGAGUGGCGAACGGGUGAGUAACACGUGAGUAACCUGCCCUUGACUUUGGGAUAACUUCAGGAAACUGGGGCUAAUACCGGAUAGGAGCUCCUGCUGCAUGGUGGGGGUUGGAAAGUUUCGGCGGUUGGGGAUGGACUCGCGGCUUAUCAGCUUGUUGGUGGGGUAGUGGCUUACCAAGGCUUUGACGGGUAGCCGGCCUGAGAGGGUGACCGGCCACAUUGGGACUGAGAUACGGCCCAGACUCCUACGGGAGGCAGCAGUGGGGAAUAUUGCACAAUGGGCGGAAGCCUGAUGCAGCAACGCCGCGUGCGGGAUGACGGCCUUCGGGUUGCAAACCGCUUUCGCCUGUGACGAAGCGUGAGUGACGGUAAGGGGUAAAGAAGCACCGGCUAACUACG
This 466-nucleotide ribosomal RNA is filed under the name uncultured bacterium. RNAcentral describes it as "partial 16S ribosomal RNA". It matches the Rfam family "Bacterial small subunit ribosomal RNA", at positions 28 to 505 of the family's 1533-position model. The record is from RNAcentral.